GGGAGCGGUCCACGCAUCUAUUACGUCAUAGUUGACAGUAUAAAGGCAAGAUUCAGGGAACUAAUGGAGUUUCUUUUUCUUCUCCCCUUCUGUCAUAGAAAGGUCAAGCUAGUUUUCAACAUUUUUAUGUAUGUCAUUCUCAAUAUAGCAACAGAAUCUCUUAUGGAAAACAAUGCCAUGUGCAAGCUAUCUCUGAGCAAAUGGGACAUUUUUGAACCUUUGUCAAGCAACAUGCUGCAGAUAACAAAAUGUACAUGCUGGGACUGAUGAAAUUCUGCAAAGGAACAAUGCAAUGAAUGUCAACAUAGGAUACUACUGCUUCUAAUGAGUAGAGAAUUCCACAAGACUGGCUGCCAUCUUGUCCAUGUAGCUUUUUUGGCUUGGAAAAGUGUCUCCUAUAUAUGUAACUGCACUUCAAAAAGAAAUAUUUGAAAGUACAGAAAGACAUAAAAUUAAAAGUGAGUUUUCCUAUCAACUCCUCCUGCUGCUUUCUUCCAUAAAACUAAAUACUAACCUUUCUAUUAAUCUAUCAACAAUAAAUAUUUCUACUGGCUUCCA
Molecule: long non-coding RNA, 558 nt
Filed under: Vulpes vulpes (red fox)
Lineage: Eukaryota; Metazoa; Chordata; Mammalia; Carnivora; Canidae
Description: lncRNA (ENSVVUG00000018538.1)
Source: RNAcentral